UCUAUCUCUCUCUCUCUCUGGCGACUCAAGCACAUGCCAACGAUUAGGGUUUUGGUAAGAACCGCCAGAAGACUCAUAAUCUUAAUCGGCUUGAAGCGCAGCGUAACGAGCUCAAUUCUCGAGUUGUAGUUCUCAAUGCUGGUGAUAACAACGAGCAUUUCCAGUAACUCAUCGUAAUUACCUUCCUGUUGCUGGAGGUGUUAGCAGCCACACAUGCUAUUGCAGUGUAUCAGCCCCCGAACUUACUGUUUCAGAGAGUUCCUCCACCUCUAUAAAGUAAUUAUUUUGUAAUCUCAGAAGAGAAUUGUGUCGGGUGUCCAACCAACAGGAUCUAUACACCCUGGGAAUUAUCUUGGAGCGAUAAUAAAUUGGAUAUCACUGCAGUGAAAUUUUGAUGGGAGUCAAUCCAUGGUGGCCGGAGAACUCACCCAGGGUACGUUCAUGGUGGAGGGCUAGGUUAGUCGGUAGUCAAAUGGCCAAAAGUACUCUAGACUUUGCAUACAGAACUGCUUCGAUUUCAGUUUUCAACUGGUAUCUGGCCAAAAGUUAAAAAAGCCAUAUAUGUGGUUGAGGACAAGAAAAUUUUAGAUUAAUUUAGUGUAACUGAUUGCUUUAU
Helianthus annuus (common sunflower) is the source of this 616-nucleotide long non-coding RNA. RefSeq lists it as uncharacterized. The record is from RefSeq and is a predicted model, not a curated record. NCBI's taxonomy places the organism in Eukaryota, Viridiplantae, Streptophyta, Magnoliopsida, Asterales, Asteraceae. The transcript is spliced from 4 exons.